AACCCAUAUUUUUCCUUGGGCUUUGGCCAGCCCAGGCCCACCUCUGUCCUUGCAAUUUUCUCCUGCUGUUGGACACUUGACUCAUUUCUCUUUCACCACUCACAGGCCCAUAGGUCAUUUAACCGACCCGAAACACAACCACCAAAGAUGUACACGCGUCGAUUAUCGGAAGCGGUUGAGUGGUAGCUCCGGUGAGGCGGGCCGCUGUCACCACUAGAUAGUAGCGUCCACUUGUUUGUAAAUGUGUCAUAAGGGUAGAGCUCGUUCAGCUCCUUAUGCGUAGCGUCCGUACCACCAAACACAUAGAUGGUUUUGCCUACAGAGGCCAUCGUGACACCAACCCGCGGCGGAGGA
RNAcentral lists this unclassified non-coding RNA (354 nucleotides) under Hevea brasiliensis (rubber tree). Lineage: Eukaryota; Viridiplantae; Streptophyta; Magnoliopsida; Malpighiales; Euphorbiaceae. The record is from RNAcentral.